UAGGGAAUCUUCCACAAUGGGCGCAAGCCUGAUGGAGCAACGCCGCGUGAGUGAAGAAGGUCUUCGGAUCGUAAAACUCUGUUGUUAGAGAAGAAUAUACGAGAGAGUAACUGUUCUUGUAUUGACGGUAUCUAACCAGAAAGCCACGGCUAACUACGNGCCAG
This 164-nucleotide ribosomal RNA is filed under the name uncultured bacterium. RNAcentral describes it as "partial 16S rRNA". It matches the Rfam family "Bacterial small subunit ribosomal RNA", at positions 355 to 511 of the family's 1533-position model. The record is from RNAcentral.